AACAGCCACUUUGCCUGACGCGAUUUGCUGCCACGUGCUCCUGUACUUACUGUUUCGUAGUAUUCAGCAUGCAGGAUACAAUGAGAAGUUAGGAGUCUGCACCCUAGAAGAGGGCUCUUACCAGAACCGGACCAUGCUGGCACCCUGAUCUUGGACCUCCAGCCUCCAGACCUGUGUGAAAGCCCCCGCUCACCAGCCUGCCUUCGCUUGACAAAUGAUGAAGAUAAUGAAAGUGAAGGUGCAGAGCGGAACGGCCAAGACAGUCUGGGCACGUCUCUCAUCACCACCUGUUUGAGAAGUCUGCAUUCCUAGGUCCUUCUGUUUGAGACUCUACUGAGAGGCUUCAGGCUGCACUGUGCACAACCUCUUACGGUCAGGCCCUGCAAGCUUAUGCUGCUUCACCUUCCCUUUGCAUACCGUGGAGGAAAAAUCAUAAUGCUCACUGUGGGCCAAAGCCUUUGUUAUGCUCAGGGCUUCGGAAGAUUGGAUUACUACAACACUACGGAAGAGAAAACUGAGGUUCACAGAGGCUAGCAACUCUCCAAGGCCCCACAGCAGAUAUCUCAUCUAGUCGGAACUUGCUCCUAGGCCUGUCUGGCUCUCAGCUGCCACACCACGCUGCCUCCCUUGAGGAAAGGAUGGUUGAUGUGGGAUAUGUUGGAACAAUGCAGCCUCCUGAAAUCAGCUUUGCCUUUAAAGACAGAAGUGACAGGGGCCAAAGAGUGCACAGGACUGGCUGGACAGGGUUAGGAGUCACAUGUGUCAGGUCCUAGUUGGACUGGACCACUCCCUGACCACAAGAGCUCUAGACAACCACUGGAACUUUCUGAGCUCACGUCCUCAUCUGGAAAUGGAGCAAACACCCUCUGCCCUUUCCACUUUACAGGAUGAUUCUGAAGGAGGUAACCAUUUCCACGUGUUUCUCCCGUGUGUGCGUGAGAGAGAGAUACUGUGAUCUUGUAAGUGGCCAGGAGCUUUCAUCACUGAUUCCUCCUCUGCACCGACUCGCUCAGGAGCCCUCAGUUCACCUUGGAUGUGUUUUUGUUCUGUGGCAAGAGAAUCACAUGUGUAUACACACGCGUCUGCCAUUUUCACCAGGAAAUGUGACCGGAGUUCUUAAAAAUUCUGUCUCAAUGAGUUUUUACUCAUCUCUCCUGAGAACUCACCCACCUGAUAGAAUUUUAAGCUUUAAAAGGUACUUCCUGUGAUUAUUCACUCAUUGAGGCAGAGGAGACUGAUGCCAAGAUGUGAUGGAACUGGGAGGUGGAGGGAACUGAGUGACGGUAGAUGAGGCUGGGAGAUGAGCCACCUGGGUCUGACACUAAGUCAGUUACUAGGCCCUUGAGCAAAUUUAUAAACCAAUCAAAGCCUCAGUUUUUUAGUCUGUGAAAUGGACUUAGUAUCUGCAUGUUAAUGUGGAGUUACAGUUAACGAAAUAAUGUAUUGACAAGCGCCAAGGUCAAUGCCUGGCGUGCACAAAAAGUCCAGUAGGUGUUGGUUGAAUCAGAGCAUCUUUCUUUGGAGUAAUUUGAAGUUCCCUGCUGAACUCAGGUUGACCAAAAGAAGACAUAGGCUGACAGAACAGCAACCAGGGCGACUGCAUUCACUUCGUGAGCCCGACUUCACUCUCUGCAUUUGAGAGAAAAUCACUACUGCACACCGUUCUUGUAGGACUGAACUGUGAUGACAUUCACUAAGGUAAAAACACAGUGCCUGGCUUUUACUGUGCGUUCAGUCAGUUUUGCAAAGGAUGAUAGUUUCGGUGAUUAUCAGGAGCCCAAUAUAACCUUUUUGGAUAAUAGACAGUACAUACAUCUACGGCAUCAUAGAGAUUGUUGGCUUCUCUAGAUGACACUGAAAAUGGUUCACAGUCUUACCCCCUGCCUCUUACUGUGGCUUUGUACACUUUGGUGCUAAAGGUCUUUUAGGCUGGACGAAAUCCCCAGACUUCUUAGCAUGGGUGAGAAGUUGCUUGUGUAUACUCUGCAACAAGAAAAGGGAAUGGAACGAGGUUGGGAGAGCCCAUGAGGGAGGCUAUUCAGAGCUUUGCCUUACCACCUCCCAGAAACCUUACCACACUUCUUUGCUAGAUUCAGAUGCAAAAUAAAGUUGUUAAAUGGAACAGGAAAAUGUCCUCAUCAUUUUUUGCGCUGAAGUCCAUGAUAUUUACCUUCAGAUCUGGAUACACGGAAGGCCGCCUCCUCAGCUGCUAAUGGGAGUCAUGCUGGAGGGACAGCGAGCAGCCGCCUCUGACAUUUAGAGAACUAGACCAGAUGCUUUUAGUAUAUUAAAAUCAGAUUUUUGAUUUAUAUUUAUGUAUGUUAUUAUCCUCUUUUUUCCUCUUAAUUUUGUUCUUUGUAUUUAUACAGCUGCAUUGUGCUCUGACCACGGUCACUGUGAUUAGCAAUAUUUAUUUAAAAUUAGGGAAUAUUUGGCUGUGAUUUCAUUUCCCCCUAUUUUCAGCUGCCAUCGAGUCAAAGGCCCUAGUGAUGUAGGCGGCCCAGGAAGAGGAUUGAACCCACGAGCGCUUGCUCAUUUGAGUAAGACUCUGCUCUCUAUUACUACUUCAAAAAGCGAACUUCCUGUUCUCUAGGGUUUGUGUCUGCAGGUGUGGAGGUAGCCUUUCUCCCUGCCCACUCCUUCACCCAGGGCAAGGACAGCCAUCACCAAACCCUUGAAGUCUUCAGAAACUCCAUCGUGGGAGGGGUGGGUCUUCUCCUGCUAGUCCACCCAUUCUGAUAAAGAAUUUCAAGGAAGAGCUUUCCCUGCUGCCUUUCCAGGGUCAGAUGACACUUGAGCGUCACGAGUGAGGUCUUAUCAUCUCCAAGGUGACAAGUUGGGAUGAAAUAUUCACCGGGCAGCUUUUGGAUGGCUUUCUAAUCACUUCUGGCUUGACACUUUGGAAAAUUAAAAAAUAAGAGGAGUUUCUUUUCAGGUUGAACAUUUACAGCCUUGCCAAAUUAUCCUGUUUCUGCUUCUGGCUUCCAAUAACAGCAGGCUUUGAUGUCAAAUGUCCACAGCGUGCUUGGGGCAUGAGUGUGGUCUGUCUCCUGUGACCAGGGGUCCCUGAGGCCCCCGGGUGGACUCUCUGAGACCUGGGCACAGGGCUCCCUUUGCGCUUCUUUCCUUUGGGGCAAUGAUUAGGUAUGUGGGUGAAUCAAUUUGGGCUGCUAGCCUGGGGUUGUUAAAAAGCAGGUGUUGAUCAUGGGAGUAAUUACCAAGGACUGCAUACCCCAAAUGAUUUACAAUCUGAGAUCUAAAGCAAAAAAUGAGUUCUCACACCUCAGAUCUGCUGCUUCGCUCCUUCUGCCUCAAACGUGCUGCCGAUGAUGAAUGCACCUCAAGUGCCUCACCUGCCGGGAGGCGUUCUGCCGCCUGGCCGGCCGUCAGGUAUCUCUCAUGAUCUACACAUAUGGCAGGCGCCACGUACUAAAUCCACACAAAGGGCCAUCCCCACCCUUCCCCAGCUCACAGUUUAUAAUGCUCAGUCUGAAAUGACCUUUAAAAAGCCAGAUAAUAUUUUAUUUACCUUUUUUCUUCCAUUUACUGUUAAAUGUUAAUGAAGGUAAGAGAUUCAAAUUCCUGCUAAUAAAACACUUUAAUUGACUCAAGUGUAACCAUAACUGUAAAUUGGCUACUUUGUACGAACGACCUUAGCGCUCCCUGCCCCCGACUCUCCCGCCCGUGCAAUUUUGGAAGUUGGCAGCAAACACAGGCUUUGUUCUUCCUGGGCUUCAUGCGCAGCCCCCCAACUCUCUGCUCCAAGACAGGCAAGCAGGAGCCACUUUGGAGCUCUCCUUUCUGUGGCAUUAACUACCCUUCACCCCUCCCACAGGCUCCCUCUAUUGAAAUCCUUCAGAUUCAAGGCCCAUUGUAAGCACCACCUCCUCCAGGAAGCCCAGUUCCCUCUCAUCUGCCUCCAAAGAGCCACAGCAUUUUGAGACUUUCCUUGUGAUGGUUCUCACUUUGCCUUUUGUUAUAGUAACUUCUGCAGCUGUCUUAUCUCCUUACUUGUUAGAAACCCGAUGCAUGGUCAGUGCUCAGCAAUAUCUAUUAAGUUGAAUUAACUGAUUUUUCUUCAAAAGAUUGGCACCUGAGCUAACAUCUGUUGCCAAUCUUCUUCUUCUCCCCAGAGCGCACCCAGUACAUAGUUGUAUAUUCUAGUUGUAGGUCCUUCUGGUUGUGGCAUGUGGGACGCUGCCUCAGCAUGGCCUGAUGAGCGGUGCCAUGUCUGCACCAGGAUCCGAACUGGUGAAACCCUGAGCCGCCGAAGCGGAGCGUGUGAACUUAACCACUCGGCCACUGGGCGGCCCCCCAGAAAAAAAUUUUUGUUGCCCUGUGCCAUACCAAUUCUCUAGGGCAUUCGCAAAACCAUUUAUUAAAUGCUCUUUGCCUGGAUUUCUUAGGCAAGUCCGCUCACUAUUCAAAACUUGUAAUAACUUGCUGCUUUAGAGAAAGAAUUUCAAAAAAGAAGAAAAUCUACACCUUGUAGUUAAAAAAAAAAAGUGAGAGGAGCCUCUGUAUGAUCUUAUGCAGGCUGAUGUGGUGUGGUCAGAGAAAGAACAGGCCAGGGGUUCUCUUUCUCUGGCUGCACCUCUAAGGGCAGAGGCUGCAAGCUUAGCUAUUCCUUUGCUCAGCGGAGCUCUGGUGGACCGCGCCCUCCCAGCACGUCAUCUGGACCAUAGUUGGGUGCGUCUGCAAUCCUCUUCCAACUCCAGACAGCUGCUGCUUUGAGGUGGUAGAUGGUCCGGCUCCUGGACAGCAGCAUCUGUCUCCAGUGAGCUCUGGGCUGCUGGUGGAAGAGGUGGCUUCAGCCAACGACAGUACCUAUGGAAUAUGUCAAUCCUAGAGCUAAACAAAGAUGUUCUGCUGCUGAGAGCGAAUACGUCCUUUGUUUCUCCAUUCACAGGAAAACAAAAAUGAAUGAAUAGUGUUUCCUCAACUUUAGGUUUUCCUCCCAUAAAUUCUACUUAUUCUGUCUGCUCCUACUUCCACUUAAUUAGCAAUGACUGUGACUCUCAACCCUCCCUCACUAGGGGGGAUGUUUGCAACCA
Equus caballus (horse) is the source of this 5054-nucleotide long non-coding RNA. NCBI's taxonomy places the organism in Eukaryota, Metazoa, Chordata, Mammalia, Perissodactyla, Equidae. The record is from Ensembl.